CGCAUUUCCAAUUUGCAGCCCGUCACUUCGAUGCGGACAAAAUAAUAAUACAUUAUCUUAUUCGGUGUCUCCCGAGCGAUCAUACGGAACGACGACAUUUGGUGUAUUGUAUCGAUCUCACACGAUAGACAGACACGGGAGAUUUCCGGAAUUUCGAAAGACUUCCGACAAAAGGUAAGUGAAGUGCAUUUAAUAUAGCGAUUUGUUUUGCGCGUCUUUAGUACAGGUAAACUACACGGAUUUUCGACGGUGGCACUGAGGCAGUCAAUCCGAACAAUAAUUUUACGUAAGUAUAGCAGGUAGGGUUGUUCGUCGGCAGAGAAGAUGUUUUGUCCAAAAUAUGAAUAUGUCACGUUCGAUCAACUCCUUAUCGGUGGGCCUGUGUACUCCGUCACGGUAUCGCAUAAUAUCAAUUUCGGAAAGCCAAACGACGGAAGCCCAAACGAUAUUCGGUCCGGAGUGAUCGUCCCACUGCGAUUUGAUUCCAGCCGAUUGAGACGCAAGCCCGCAGUGUAU
This is a long non-coding RNA of Myzus persicae (green peach aphid), 516 nucleotides long. RefSeq lists it as uncharacterized. Lineage: Eukaryota; Metazoa; Arthropoda; Insecta; Hemiptera; Aphididae. The record is from RefSeq and is a predicted model, not a curated record. The transcript is spliced from 3 exons.